Molecule: transfer RNA, 85 nt
Filed under: Felis catus (domestic cat)
Lineage: Eukaryota; Metazoa; Chordata; Mammalia; Carnivora; Felidae
Also listed under: 1 other name
Rfam family: tRNA
About the family: Transfer RNA (tRNA) molecules are approximately 80 nucleotides in length. Their secondary structure includes four short double-helical elements and three loops (D, anti-codon, and T loops). Further hydrogen bonds mediate the characteristic L-shaped molecular structure. tRNAs have two regions of fundamental functional importance: the anti-codon, which is responsible for specific mRNA codon recognition, and the 3' end, to which the tRNAs corresponding amino acid is attached (by aminoacyl-tRNA synthetases). tRNAs cope with the degeneracy of the genetic code in two manners: having more than one tRNA (with a specific anti-codon) for a particular amino acid; and 'wobble' base-pairing, i.e. permitting non-standard base-pairing at the 3rd anti-codon position.
Source: Rfam by way of RNAcentral
GCCCGGGUGGCUCAGUCGGUUAAGCGUCUGACUUCGGCUCAGGUCAUGAUCUCACGGUUUGUGAGUUCGAGCCCCGCAUCGGGCU